UACAGAGGUGGCAAGCGUUGUUCGGAAUUACUGGGCGUAAAGGGCGCGUAGGCGGCCUUCUCAGUCGGACGUGAAAUCACCAGGCUUAACUUGGGAACUGCGUCCGAUACUGGAAGGCUUGAGUGCGGGAGAGGGAUGUGGAAUUCCAGGUGUAGCGGUGAAAUGCGUAGAUAUCUGGAGGAACACCGGUGGCGAAGGCGGCAUCCUGGACCGACACUGACGCUGAGGCGCGAAAGCCAGGGGAGCAAACGGG
RNAcentral lists this ribosomal RNA (253 nucleotides) under uncultured bacterium. RNAcentral's name for it is "partial 16S ribosomal RNA". It matches the Rfam family "Bacterial small subunit ribosomal RNA", at positions 524 to 776 of the family's 1533-position model. The record is from RNAcentral.